CUACGGGGGGCAGCAGUGGGGAAUAUCGCACAAUGGGCGCAAGCCUGAUGCAGCCAUGCCGCGUGUAUGAAGAAGGCCUUCGGGUUGUAAAGUACUUUCAGCGGGGAGGAAGGGAGUAAAGUUAAUACCUUUGCUCAUUGACGUUACCCGCAGAAGAAGCACCGGCUAACUCCGUGCCAGCAGCCGCGGUAAUACGGAGGGUGCAAGCGUUAAUCGGAAUUUCUGGGCGUAAAGCGCACGCAGGCGGUUUGUUAAGUCAGAUGUGAAAUCCCCGGGCUCAACCUGGGAACUGCAUCUGAUACUGGCAAGCUUGAGUCUCGUAGAGGGGGGUAGAAUUCCAGGUGUAGCGGUGAAAUGCGUAGAGAUCUGGAGGAAUACCGGUGGCGAAGGCGGCCCCCUGGACGAAGACUGACGCUCAGGUGCGAAAGCGUGGGGAGCAAACAGGAUUAGAUACCCGUGUAGUC
Molecule: ribosomal RNA, 464 nt
Filed under: uncultured bacterium
Lineage: Bacteria
Description: partial 16S ribosomal RNA
Rfam family: Bacterial small subunit ribosomal RNA
Source: RNAcentral